Molecule: long non-coding RNA, 297 nt
Organism: Chinchilla lanigera (long-tailed chinchilla)
Lineage: Eukaryota; Metazoa; Chordata; Mammalia; Rodentia; Chinchillidae
Exons: 3
Source: RefSeq, a predicted model, not a curated record
UUCCUGUAUCUGCAAUAAAUAACAUUUUUAUAACAAUAAUAUCAGAAGCCAUAAUAUUUGUAAAACAGCUAGAAAAUAUGAUAGCUGUAAAACCUAUUCCUUGACAGAAGUCCAGAGAUGGUGAGCUGUUCUUUCCAAGUUGGACUAUAAAGAGAAAAUCUCAAACAUUUCAAAAGUUGAGCAGUUUCACAGAUAUGAAGAUAUCUAUCAAGAUAUGAAGCAUUACAGUGAAUAGGUUUAAGCAUAUACAAGGCAGGCAGCGAGUGAGGCAGAAAUCAGAAGAAACUAAUCCAAAAU